GAUCCUGGCUCAGGAUGAACGCUAGCUACAGGCUUAACACAUGCAAGUCGAGGGGCAGCAUGACGGAAGCUUGCUUCUGUUGAUGGCGACCGGCGCACGGGUGAGUAACGCGUAUCCAACCUGGCCCUUAGUAGGGGAUAGCCCGGCGAAAGUCGGAUUAAUACCCUAUGUUUUCCAAUGAGGACAUCUGAGCUGGAACAAAGGUUUACCGCUAAGGGAUGGGGAUGCGUCUGAUUAGGUAGUAGGCGGGGUAACGGCCCACCUAGCCGACGAUCAGUAGGGGUUCUGAGAGGAAGUCCCCCCACAUUGGUACUGAGACACGGACCAAACUCCUACGGGAGGCAGCAGUGAGGAAUAUUGGUCAAUGGACGAGAGUCUGAACCAGCCAAGUAGCGUGCAGGAUGAACCUGCCCUAUGGGCUGUAAACUGCUUUUAUGCGGGAAUAAAGUGAGGCACGUGUGCCUUUUUGUAUGUACCGCAUGAAUAAGGACCGGCUAAUUCCGUGCCAGCAGCUGC
This 516-nucleotide ribosomal RNA is filed under the name uncultured bacterium. RNAcentral's name for it is "bacterial SSU rRNA". It matches the Rfam family "Bacterial small subunit ribosomal RNA", at positions 15 to 518 of the family's 1533-position model. The record is from RNAcentral.